RNAcentral lists this ribosomal RNA (351 nucleotides) under uncultured Methylobacter sp. RNAcentral describes it as "bacterial SSU rRNA". It matches the Rfam family "Bacterial small subunit ribosomal RNA", at positions 427 to 795 of the family's 1533-position model. The record is from RNAcentral. Lineage: Bacteria; Pseudomonadati; Pseudomonadota; Gammaproteobacteria; Methylococcales; Methylococcaceae. RNAcentral also lists the same sequence under 1 other name.
AAAGCUCUUUUGUCCGGGACGAUAAUGACGGUACCGGAAGAAUAAGCCCCGGCUAACUUCGUGCCAGCAGCCGCGGUAAUACGAAGGGGGCUAGCGUUGCUCGGAAUCACUGGGCGUAAAGGGCGCGUAGGCGGCCGAUUAAGUCGGGGGUGAAAGCCUGUGGCUCAACCACAGAAUUGCCUUCGAUACUGGUUGGCUUGAGACCGGAAGAGGACAGCGGAACUGCGAGUGUAGAGGUGAAAUUCGUAGAUAUUCGCAAGAACACCAGUGGCGAAGGCGGCUGUCUGGUCCGGUUCUGACGCUGAGGCGCGAAAGCGUGGGGAGCAAACAGGAUUAGAUACCCUGGUAGUC